This 257-nucleotide unclassified non-coding RNA is filed under the name air metagenome. RNAcentral's name for it is "partial contains small subunit ribosomal RNA, internal transcribed spacer 1, and 5.8S ribosomal RNA". The stretch from base 1 to 46 matches the Rfam family "Eukaryotic small subunit ribosomal RNA", at positions 1786 to 1831 of the family's 1831-position model. The record is from RNAcentral.
AAGUCGUAACAAGGUUUCCGUAGGUGAACCUGCGGAAGGAUCAUUAGAGAAAUUAUUGAGAGUUGAGCUGGCUUUUCACGAAGCAUGUGCUUGCUUUCUAAUUACUUUAUCCAUACACCUGUGCACCUUUGAGGUAGAGUGGAACUUGUUUCUGCCCUCCUCGUUUAUCACAAACUCUUAAUCAAACAUUGAACGUGAAUUAGUGCCUUACGGCCUUAAUCAUUAUACAACUUUUAACAACGGAUCUCUUGGCUCUC